AAGUCCCGCAACGAGCGCAACCCCUGCAUUCAGUGCCAUCGGGUAAUGCCGGGCACUCUGGAAGGACUGCCAUCGACAAGAUGGAGGAAGGUGGGGAGUGACGUCAAGUCAUCAUGGCCCUUAUGUCCAGGGCGACACACGUGCUACAAUGGCCGGCACAACGGGAAGCGAGUUCGCGAGGACGAGCGGAUCCCUUAAAGACCGGUCGCAGUUCGGAUUGAAGUCUGCAACUCGACUUCAUGAAGCUGGAAUCGCUAGUAAUCGUGGAUCAGCCAAGCCGCGGUGAAUACGUUCCCGGGCCUU
RNAcentral lists this ribosomal RNA (303 nucleotides) under uncultured Synergistaceae bacterium. RNAcentral describes it as "bacterial SSU rRNA". It matches the Rfam family "Bacterial small subunit ribosomal RNA", at positions 1082 to 1382 of the family's 1533-position model. Lineage: Bacteria; Thermotogati; Synergistota; Synergistia; Synergistales; Synergistaceae. The record is from RNAcentral.